GGGAACUGCGUUNUGAACUGGGUGACUAGAGUGUGUCAGAGGGAGGUAGAAUUCCACGUGUAGCAGUGAAAUGCGUAGAGAUGUGGAGGAAUNCCGAUGGCGAAGGCAGCCUCCUGGGAUAACACUGACGUUCAUGCCCGAAAGCGUGGGUAGCAAACAGGAUUAGAUACCCUGGUAGUNCACGCCCUAAACGAUGUCGAUUAGCUGUUGGGCAGCAUGACUGCUUAGUAGCGAAGCUAACGCGUGAAAUCGACCGCCUGGGGAGUACGGUCGCAAGAUUAAAACUCAAAGGAAUUGACGGGGACCCGCACAAGCGGUGGAUGAUGUGGAUUAAUUCGAUGCAACGCGAAGAACCUUACCUGGUCUUGACAUGUACGGAACCCUCCAGAGACGGAGGGGUGCCUUCGGGAGCCGUAACACAGGUGCUGCAUGGCUGUCGUCAGCUCGUGUCGUGAGAUGUUGGGUUAAGUCCCGCAACGAGCGCAACCCUUGUCAUUAGUUGCCAUCAUUAAGUUGGGCACUCUAAUGAGACUGCCGGUGACAAGCCGGAGGAAGGUGGGGACGACGUCAAGUCCUCAUGGCCCUUAUGACCAGGGCUUCACACGUCAUACAAUGGUCGGUACAGAGGGUAGCCAAGCCGCGAGGUGGAGCCAAUCUCACAAAACCGAUCGUAGUCCGGAUUGCACUCUGCAACUCGAGUGCAUGAAGUCGGAAUCGCUAGUAAUCGCAGGUCAGCAUACUGCGGUGAAUACGUUCCCGGGUCUUGUACACACCGCCCGUCACACCAUGGGAGUGGGGGAUACCAGAAGU
RNAcentral lists this ribosomal RNA (810 nucleotides) under uncultured bacterium. RNAcentral describes it as "bacterial SSU rRNA". It matches the Rfam family "Bacterial small subunit ribosomal RNA", at positions 616 to 1427 of the family's 1533-position model. The record is from RNAcentral.